This 643-nucleotide ribosomal RNA is filed under the name uncultured bacterium. RNAcentral describes it as "bacterial SSU rRNA". It matches the Rfam family "Bacterial small subunit ribosomal RNA", at positions 232 to 885 of the family's 1533-position model. The record is from RNAcentral.
CGCGGCCUAUCAGCUUGUUGGUGGGGUAAUGGCCUACCAAGGCGACGACGGGUAGCCGGCCUGAGAGGGCGAUCGGCCACACUGGGACUGAGACACGGCCCAGACUCCUACGGGGGGCAGCAGUGGGGAAUAUUGCGCAAUGGGCGAAAGCCUGACGCAGCGACGCCGCGUGAGGGAUGAAGGCCUUCGGGUUGUAAACCUCUUUCAGCAGGGACGAAGCGAAAGUGACGGUACCUGCAGAAGAAGCACCGGCCAACUACGUGCCAGCAGCCGCGGUAAUACGUAGGGUGCAAGCGUUGUCCGGAAUUAUUGGGCGUAAAGAGCUCGUAGGCGGUUUGUCGCGUCGGCUGUGACAACUCGGGGCUCAACCCCGAGCCUGCAGUCGAUACGGGCAAACUAGAGUGUGGUAGGGGAGACUGGAAUUCCUGGUGUAGCGGUGAAAUGCGCAGAUAUCAGGAGGAACACCGGCGGCGAAGGCGGGUCUCUGGGCCAUAACUGACGCUGAGGAGCGAAAGCGUGGGGAGCGAACAGGAUUAGAUACCCUGGUAGUCCACGCCGUAAACGUUGGGCGCUAGGUGUCGGGGACCUUCCACGUCUUCGGUGCCGCAGCUAACGCAUUAAGCGCCCCGCCUGGGGAGUACGG